CAUGUCUUUUUGAUUAUAAUAUAAAGUCUGGCCUGCCCUAUGAAUUAAAUUUUAAAUGGCCGCGGUAUUUUGACCGUGCAAAGGUAGCAUAAUAAUUAGUUUUUUAAUUGAGAACUGGUAUGAAAGGUUUGACGAAGGAAAAACUGUCUCAGUUUAAUUUUAAUUAGAAUUUUAUUUUUAAGUUAAAAAGCUUAAAUAGUUUUAAAAGACGAGAAGACCCUAUAGAAUUUUAUAUUUAUAAUUAUAUUUAAAAGUUUAAGUAUUAUAGAUUUGAAUAUAAAUAUAAAUAUUUAGUUGGGGCAACUAAAAAAUUUAAUUAACUUUUUUUAUAUUAAAACAUUGAUAUAUGAAUAAAUGAUCCAUAUUUUUAUGAUUAUAAGAUUAAAUUACCUUAGGGAUAACAGCGUUAUUUUUUUUUAGAGUUCUUAUCGAAAAAAAAGUUUGCGACC
RNAcentral lists this ribosomal RNA (449 nucleotides) under Scarabaeus hippias. RNAcentral's name for it is "partial 16S ribosomal RNA". The record is from RNAcentral. Lineage: Eukaryota; Metazoa; Arthropoda; Insecta; Coleoptera; Scarabaeidae.